GUGAAGCGGCAAAAGCUCAAAUUUGAAACCCUCGGGAUUGUAAUUUGAAGAUUUGGCAUUGGAGAAAGCUAACCCAAGUUGCUUGGAAUAGUACGUCAUAGAGGGUGACAACCCCGUCUGGCUAACCGUUCUCCAUGUAUUGCCUUAUCAAAGAGUCGAGUUGUUUGGGAAUGCAGCUCAAAGUGGGUGGUAAACUCCAUCUAAAGCUAAAUACUGGUGAGAGACCGAUAGCGAACAAGUACUGUGAAGGAAAGGUGAAAAGAACUUUGAAAAGAGAGUGAAAUAGUAUGUGAAAUUGUUGAUAGGGAAGGAAAUGAGUGGAGAGUGGCCGAGGUUUCAGCCGCCCCUCGUGGGCGGUGUACUGCCGACGCCGAGUCAUCGAUAGCGAGACGAGGGUUACAAAUGGGAGCGCCUU
RNAcentral lists this ribosomal RNA (415 nucleotides) under Yarrowia lipolytica. RNAcentral's name for it is "partial large subunit ribosomal RNA". It matches the Rfam family "Eukaryotic large subunit ribosomal RNA", at positions 93 to 526 of the family's 3401-position model. The record is from RNAcentral. Lineage: Eukaryota; Fungi; Ascomycota; Dipodascomycetes; Dipodascales.